RNAcentral lists this ribosomal RNA (460 nucleotides) under uncultured bacterium. Its description in RNAcentral is "partial 16S ribosomal RNA". It matches the Rfam family "Bacterial small subunit ribosomal RNA", at positions 338 to 795 of the family's 1533-position model. The record is from RNAcentral.
CCUACGGGAGGCAGCAGUGAGGAAUAUUGCUCAAUGGACGAAAGUCUGAACCAGCCAAGUAGCGUGAAGGAUGACUGCCCUAUGGGUUGUAAACUUCUUUUAUAUGGGACUAAAAUGUUCCACGUGUGGGAUUUUGUAUGUACCAUAUGAAUAAGGAUCGGCUAACUCCGUGCCAGCAGCAGCGGUAAUACGGAGGCUGCGAGCGUUAUCCGGAUGUAUUGGGUUUAAAGGGAGCGUAGGUGGAUUGUUAAGUCAGUUGUGAAAGUUUGCGGCUCAACCGUAAAAUUGCAGUGGAGACUGGCAGGCUAGAGUACAGUAGAGGUAGGCGGAAUGCGUGGUGGAGCGGUGAAAUGCUUAGAUAUCACGAAGAACGCCGAUGGCGAAGGCAGCUUACUGGACUGCAACUGACACUGAGGCUCGAAAGUGUGGGUAUCAAACAGGAUUAGAUACCCCAGUAGUC